Molecule: long non-coding RNA, 734 nt
Filed under: Ficedula albicollis (Collared flycatcher)
Lineage: Eukaryota; Metazoa; Chordata; Aves; Passeriformes; Muscicapidae
Description: lncRNA (ENSFALG00000016338.2)
Source: RNAcentral
GGAAAGGGCGGGGCUAGGGCGGGCCGCGAGGGGGCGCUGUUCGCCCCGCACCGCCUCUCCCUGAGGGCACGCCCAUGGAGCCGGGAGUGCCCGUGUGGUUGGUGUCCGGCAGCAGCGUUGUUCGGUUCUCUAGGGAAUCUUUGGGACGAGCAAUGCCUGCGGGACAGGGGCUCCGUACACUCGUGCAAUAAGUGGAAAACCGAGCCCUGCAGGAAGGAGAGAAAGCAAAGAAAAUUAAGCUAAUAAACCUGACAGAAGACCCUUAUCAAUCAGUCGAUCGAUCAAUCAAUCAAUCAAUCAAUCAAUCAAUCCAGUUUCAUCAGAAAAUGGGUUUUUCCAGUACCUACCUAGGAAAACCAAGGCAAGUUCACCUUCAGUAUAUCAAUGUUCCUAAACAGAUCCAGAUGACCACAGAGGGUUUACCCUUUGAAGGAAGGCAGUACUUCAGCUCCAGCAGCUGUGAGGCAUUAUAUUUUCAAAGAUAUUCAGAAUCAUGUGUGGUCCUAAAGAAUUUAUAGCAUAGCUUUCCUGGAGGUCAAUUUUGAUAACCAGCCUCUAUCAGAUUGACAGAUGGGGCUGUAGAAAUACCUACCUUGAAGGCAGCUCUUCUGCAGAAAGUAUGUCAGUCUUACCUACUGUUAUAUAAAUGACCUCCCUUGCAAAGCAAGUGUCACAGUGGUUUGGAACAUAUUGUUUUGAAAAUAGUAUCUGCAGAUACUGUCUUGCCCCUUCUG